GCGCCUGUAGCUCAGUGGAUAGAGCGUCCGUUUCCUAAGCGGACCCCUACCUGGCGCG
RNAcentral lists this transfer RNA (58 nucleotides) under Triticum aestivum (bread wheat). The record is from Rfam by way of RNAcentral. Lineage: Eukaryota; Viridiplantae; Streptophyta; Magnoliopsida; Poales; Poaceae.